UAUCAUGUUCUCUCUCAUGCUCACUCUACACAUCCCCCCCCAUCUCUGUCUCUCUCUCACUAUCAUGUUCUCUCUCAUGCUCACUCUACACAUCCCCCCCCAUCUCUGUCUUCUCUCACUAUCAUGUUCUCUCUCUGCUCACUCUACACAUCCCCCCCGUCUCUGUCUCUCUCUCACUAUCAUGUUCUCUCUCAUGCUCACUCUACACAUCCCCCCCUACCCAGCCUUCCUGUGUCUACACACACAGGGAAGGGCCGGGGUCUGAGAAUCAACCCCUGCAACCACAAACUGGUGAAUACACACCUCUCAUAUAUUGCCUCCUUUCCACAGUAUUUUCAUACUUUAUAUUUUUCUUUAGUAAAUGAUUGUUCGGUGUCAGUGUGGUAAUCUGCCUGGCACAGUGUAAUUGAAAUGUUCGUUUUUAAUUUAUUUUAUAAUUUUUUCUUUGGUUGAUUUUGGAUCAGAUAUACUGAUGAACGCUAUGACUAUUCAGUGAUGUUUUCCACUGAACUAUAAAAAAAAAAAAAGAAAAUCCAACCCUCUGAUUACAGAUGUAACUAUCAAUGUCAAGGCUCAGAGUGAGAACAUCUGACCAACAGUGACACUGGUCUGGGACUGGACCACAGGGCAUUGAAUGCCUAAAAUUGUCUCAAGAUAAACAGUUAACAGCACCCACUGGUACCAGAUUCUUGUUCAGCGUCGAAAUACGUCAUUGUUGAUUUUUCAGAUAUUUCUUCCGUUGUUAUCCAUUCUUAUAUAUAAAUGCUAAUUUAGAUGGGAAAGAGCCAGGGGUCUGUUUUUUGAAUUAAAGUUUGCUUUUUGCCUACCAUAAUUCUGAUAAGCAAACUAUGAAUAAAUGUGUACCUGGAUUAUAAUAAUUUAUGCAAAAAUAAGUGUUUUCUGCCAAUAAGUGUUGUGUGAGAAAUUCAAUAGAGGAGGCCUUAUUGGUUCAAUAUGGAAUACUUUAUGACUGCAUGUAUGUAUGUAUAUACUUUAUUUACUGCCUGUAUGUAUAUACAAUAUACUGCCUGUUUUUAUGUAUAUAAAAUGCAUACACUUAUGUGUAUGUAUAUACAUUAUUAUUAUUACAUUCAUGGGAAAGCACCAAACAGACAGAGGUCACACAGUGCCUGGGUAAUGGUGGUGGUCAAGUUUGAGUCAGGAAAAAGAAAGUCUAAACUUAUUGCAUUAAGAUCCUCCACUGGCAACAAGGUACCUCCUUCCCAGCAGGGAGGUACCUUGAUACUGGUGUGUGGCAUUUGAUUUGUGGAAUUGAACUUGGCCUCCCCUUCCCUUAGAUCAAAACUGAUUGUCUCCCAUUUCUCAAGUGCUGUAUGACCCUUAGGGGUUUAGCACUUUCCACUAAUAUAAUAAUAAGUCACUGACUUUGAAAAAUAUUUAUAUGCAAUAUUCAGUUUUGUUUAGACAAACCCUUGAAGGGUAUGUAUACACAGUAUUCACUAGUGUAUAUACAUACCCUUGAAGGGCAUGUAUUUACAAUAAGUAUUGUAUUUUCUGGCAUAUAUGGCACAAACAUAAGACUCACCCUAAUUUUGGCAAGCAUGUCCUGGGAAAAGUUAAAUAUUGCAGUACUUGGUAGGUGUAGUGAGUAGAAGGUGGGCAGGAGGUGGAUGCUGGGUAGGCAUCACCACUGACACCAGGUGCCAUCACCACUGACACCAGGUGCCAUCACCACUGACACCAGGUGCCAUCACCACUGACACCAGGUGCCAUCACCACUGACACCAGGUGCCAUCACCACUGACACCAGGUGCCAUCACCACUGACACCAGGUGCCAUCACCACUGGUGUCAACAAAUAUGGCAACACCAACUGACAUAAUCAGAGGGGGGUAAGGGGUAGGGGGUAAGGGGUAUAAGUAAACAUCAAGACAUUCAAGAUCAGAUUUUUACUUAGAAUAUUUAGUACAAACAUUCUGUAACUUUGAGAGUUUUCGUUGAAUUUGUAAAACAUGAGGAAAUAAAAGAAAAUAUUUUAUGCCAUGCGUGUCGAAAGAGGCGACUAAAAUACCAGGAACAAGGAGCUAUUAAACCCUUCUCCUGUAUGAAUUACUAAAUGUAAAAAGAAAAACUUAAUUUUUCUUUUUAGUUCACCUUGCCUCAGCUGGAGAUGGCUGUUUUGUUAAAAAAAAAAAAAUAUUCAUCCUGAAAGUAAACAUAAUGAAGCCAUUUUUAUUCCUCUGUUCCACUGCCACAAACCACCAAAACAAAUAUGGCUUCUUGUUUGUUUAGAGACAAUACCUGUAAUUAUUUUUUUUUUAACAAUGGCUGUCUCCCACUGAGGAAGGGUGAUCGAAAAAGAAGAAACAGUCUUUUUUUUUUUUUAGUAAUUUUUACAGGAGAAGGGGUUACUUGCCCCUUGUUCCUAGCACUUUAAUUGUCUCUUACAACAUGCAUGACUUAUGGAGGAAGGAUUCUUCCUCCACUUCCCCACAAAUCACCAAGAAUAUGUAAAUUAUAAUUGAUAAUAGUUACUAAUCACUCUGAUAAACAGUUGUGCAGAGUGUUGUUUAUAGUUCAGUUUACCGGUGCGACAGCGCUGGAACCCUCGCCUGCCAGUAACUUAAGUCUACCCUCUUCCUGACCUUCAACAUAUAAGGCACAGGAGGAUCUUCUGAGCCUUUUUUAUGGGGGAAAAAAGGCAUGCCUUAUAUGCCGGAAAAUAUGGUCAGCUCUCCUAUAAAUUACUGUAUAUAGCGCAGUUCUUUGCAAAUGCAAUUGUAAAAUUGUAAAAUUGUAAAAUUGCAACCAAUGUUGAACUGAACAUACUAUGAAGGCCUCUUCACAUACCAUUCUAUUGUGACUUUACUCUUUUAAACACAUUUACAAAACACUGCACUAUUAUAUAAGAGGAACUUUAUAAGAGAGCUGACUAUAUACAUUAUUGGCUGCUUCAAAGUAACUGUGUGAGUGUAUAAUCAGUGUGAACAAAACUCGUAUAAUCUUUAAUGUGACCAAGCCUUGUAUAAUCAGUGUGAACAAGCCUUGUAUAAUCAGUGUGAACAAGCCUUGUAUAAUCAGUGUGAACAAGCCUUGUACAAUAUAGUGAUACCAGUGUAAAAUCGUGUAAUAUUCUUCAGAUAAAUAUUCUUGUUCAUCUUCCAGCUCUCCUCAUGUAAUCUACUUUAUAUAUUUUAUUAACAUUUUAAAAUUUCAGUUUUUCAAAUGUUCUUAAUUAAUGUCUCUGUAGUACUGUGUGGUCAUCUUAUUUUUUCAGAUAAGCAAAGAUGUAAAAAUAAGAAUGUAAAAUAAGCAUCUUAUUUUUUCUGACAAGCAAAGAGUUGAAAGGAAAAAUGUAAAUUGAGUUGGUUCUUUGUUAAAUAUCAAUUUAACAAACUUUGGAAAUAUUGGACAAAAUCCCCUGGGUGAAUUGAAUCAAAAAUAAUAUAGAAACUCCAUUGGUUACAGAAUUGUCCGUUAUAGUUAUGAUCAUGGAAGAAUAAUCUGAUCGCUACCACAGUUGCCACUACCAGCCGCUCACUUCUCUCUGUUAGCCCAUUAAAUAAAAAAAAAUUCUUCAUUGGCUGUCUAGCUAAAGCAAGGUGAUCAAUCUAUCUUUCCAGAGGGGUUCUGUGUAUUGUUAUUUUAUGAGGGAGGGGUGAUUAAACCCAUAACAGUUAUGCAGUGCCUGGGGAAUAGGCACUCAGGUUCGAUCCAAGAAAGGGGAGGUCAGGCUCAAUUUCUUUGAAUACAAGGUGCUCACCAUCAUCAAAGAACCUCUCUCUUAAGGGAAUAGGCAAUACUUAGAAUCGGAUCCUGUUGUUAUAUUCAUGGUUAUUAUUCUGUAUUGGUUAUGCAGAGUCUGGAUCAAGAUCCCUUGCAUCAAGGUCUUUCUCCCCAUCCUGCCUCUCUUUGAAAGGCUUUAAUCCCAUGUUUGUUGAAUUUAAGGAAAUAACGUAUUUAUAAAGAUUAUUUGCGGCUUAAUAAAUAUAAAUGCAUAAGUUCUUGAUGACUGUGGUAGUGUACAUAAUAAAAGAUAGAGUGAAUGAAGAAUAAAAACUCACAAUACCAUGGCAGGAACAAUUCACCAAAAACCAGCGCUUAGAAGAAAAACCUUACCAUGAUGUUUCAGUCCAUCCUGAACCAUUGUCAGGACAGUGAUGCAGGACACACUGUACCAUUGUCAGGACAGUGAUGCAGGACACACUGUACCAUUGUCAAGACAGUGAUGCAGGACACAC
Molecule: non-coding RNA, 4201 nt
Organism: Cherax quadricarinatus
Lineage: Eukaryota; Metazoa; Arthropoda; Malacostraca; Decapoda; Parastacidae
Source: RefSeq, a predicted model, not a curated record